Molecule: ribosomal RNA, 282 nt
Filed under: uncultured bacterium
Lineage: Bacteria
Description: partial 16S ribosomal RNA
Rfam family: Bacterial small subunit ribosomal RNA
Source: RNAcentral
ACUCCUACGGGAGGCAGCAGUGGGGAAUUUUGGACAAUGGGCGAAAGCCUGAUCCAGCCAUGCCGCGUGCAGGAUGAAGGCCUUCGGGUUGUAAACUGCUUUUGUACGGAACGAAAAGACUCUGGUUAAUACCUGGGGUCCAUGACGGUACCGUAAGAAUAAGCACCGGCUAACUACGUGCCAGCAGCCGCGGUAAUACGUAGGGUGCAAGCGUUAAUCGGAAUUACUGGGCGUAAAGCGUGCGCAGGCGGUUAUAUAAGACAGAUGUGAAAUCCCCGGCUC